AUGGGAUGGAGGGAGUGUUGUACUACAUCAUUUUUCAAUUGUUGUUUAGCUUCUAAUAUUAAGUUGGUGCUUUUAGGUACAUAUAUCAUUGCCAAAGAUCCACACUUCGACCCUUUAUGCGUAUGGGGUAAUGAGAUAUUCAUGAACCAGCAUCAAGUGAGGAAACUGAUAAAGAGUGUUAUUAAAAUGGGCCAAAAGAUGUCAAUUGAACUAUUUGUUUACACUUUAUGCAAGACAGCAGUGAACUGCAGGAUGUGGAUCCUGAAUCAGUCUACUCAAGAUUACCUCUCAAACUACAUGAUUGGUGGCUGA
This 312-nucleotide ribosomal RNA is filed under the name Triticum aestivum (bread wheat). Its description in RNAcentral is "partial small subunit ribosomal RNA". Lineage: Eukaryota; Viridiplantae; Streptophyta; Magnoliopsida; Poales; Poaceae. The record is from RNAcentral.